Molecule: non-coding RNA, 414 nt
Organism: Microcebus murinus (gray mouse lemur)
Lineage: Eukaryota; Metazoa; Chordata; Mammalia; Primates; Cheirogaleidae
Source: RefSeq, a predicted model, not a curated record
UGUAUAUAUCAGAGCCUAUAAAAAUUAUUAACAUACCACCUAUUUCUUUAUGGAUACAAGUCUGCUGGACAAGAAUUUCUCAAUCGAUGAAGAAGAGGAAAAGAUGGACUGUUUAGUAACUGGGUGCCUGCUGAGAAAGAAACCAUCUUUAGUGCCAAACACAGGAACAAGGUCUGCUGUGAAGUUUAGACAAAGAACAACGUAACUUCUUACACACUAACAUCUUGGGUCCACCCAGGAUUAGACAUCAUCAUGGACUUAACGCCUUAGGAGAGGAGAGGAAGUACUUAGUAUCCUCUUGAGAAAAAUCUUUUUAGGUACCCUAAUUUGUUUUUCCAGAUGUUUGAUGCUAUAUCAUUUUGAAGAGAUUUCCCUUUUCGUUUGUAAGAAAUAAAGUUUAUGCAGGACAUCUAA